Long non-coding RNA from Heterocephalus glaber (naked mole-rat), 2523 nucleotides. NCBI's taxonomy places the organism in Eukaryota, Metazoa, Chordata, Mammalia, Rodentia, Bathyergidae. The record is from Ensembl.
UAGAUAUAGCAGCAGGGACAUUUCUCCAGGACAGGACCCAAAUUGCUUGACAUGAUGAUUUCAUUCUAGGAGGAGUGCUGGGUCUCCUUUCACAGUGGCCUUCAAGUGUUCUCAGAUGUCAUCAGCUAGGGGUAGAUGUGUGCGGGUGGAGUAGGCUGUUAACAGACGGGACUCUUACUUUCAUCAGUUUGAAAACCACAACUUUUUAACUGAUAGAAUUCAUAAACUUCAAACAUGUAAACCAUUCCUGUUCAUGCAAAUGUCAAGCAAAAAGUCCAACACCAGAGUACCUCAGGCUCAUGAAAAUGAGACAGUCAAGCCAUUCCUGAAAACAAGCACAUAUAAACUGUUUAUGUAUAAUUUGCAGGCCUGCUAGUAGUCUUCCCAAACCAGCUUCUGGGAAAAGCAGAAUAUCAUUUUUAGCCAGGAGUGUGGUCACCAAGCAAUGGAUUUUUCCAGGAGACACCUACAAUAUUUGAUAUCCAAACUCCCUGUCCUCUUUCCUGGCCUUAUACCCAGAUUGGAACCCACCAGGCAAACCCCAAACUUUGCAUUGCAGGCAGGCACUGUGAAGUGCACCCUGGGGAAAGGCCUAGAAAGAGUGAGCCAGUGUUCAAAAUGAAAUCCUUCCACAGUAUUUGUCUCCCAGCCUCUCCACACACUCCUGGGCCCCACAGCCUGCUCAAGGCUCUCCUGGAAUCCCUUAUUUGUGUCUUAGAUGGUGGGUGGAGGCAGGUAUGACAGCGCAUCCCUGUCAUCCCAGGACUCUGGGAAGCCUAAGCAGGAGGAACAGAGGCAGGAAGAUUGCAAGUUUGAGCCCAGCCCAGGCAAUUUCGCAACUUAGUGACAUUCUGUUUUGAAAUACUAAUUAAAAAAAAAAAUCUGGAGAUAUAAGAAGGGGUGGGGAACUGAGGCUCUCCAAGGGACUUUUCCUGUAAAUCUGAUGCUGUAUCUAUUUGUCAGGAUCCACAUUUGCUUUGGAAAGCCCUAUAUACUUGUGUCUCUGGUAAAAAUAAGUUAACGUGAUUUUUGAGGUCUUUUAAAUUUUACUAUUUUAACCAUUUUUAAGUGCACAGUUAAGUAUUAGGUACAUUCAUGUUGUGGUGCAAAUAUCACCACUAACCAUCCACAAAGCUUUUUUUCAUCUCAAAGAACUGAAAUUCUAUAUCCAUUAUACACGACCGCCCCCCACCCCCAUCCCUGGCAACCACCAUUCUCUUGUCUCUAUAUUUGACUACUCUAAAUAUCCCAUGUGAGUGAAAUUAUAUAGUACCGUUCUUUGUGAGUGGUCUCUUUAAUUUAGCAUAAUUCUGCAAGGCUGUAGCUUGUGUCAGAACUUCCUUUUUAUAGCUGAAUAAUACUGUAGAUUAUAAACCACAUUUAUUUAUCCAUUCAUCUGUUUUAGGUUUGCAUGUACCUUUUGGCUAUGGUAAAUAUGGGAUCAACUGAGACUAAGUUAUUUCUUACAAAGGCACAUUCCUCAGUUGGUUUUCAGUUUGUUUACAAACUAAAUUAAGCUACAGUUUGGUACAUAGGACUGGCCCAAAUUUAGUUCGAUUUAACACCACCAAGCUAUUUUCCAGGAGACACCAGCUGGAUGUCCUAUAAUUCAGUUCAAUUCUGACACCUAUCUACCUGUCCCAUAAACCCACGCCCCCAUUUCAGAUGGCAAUGCCAAGUGCCAGGUUGUGACCUGUGUUUCUUUUCUUUUUUUGUGGUACCAGGGAUUGAACUCAGGACCUUGUGCUUGCCAGGCAGGCACAGCACUGAGCCACAUUGCCAGCCCAUGACCUGAGUUUCCGACUGGCUAUAAAUUGGGGUUCCUGGUCCCCAAUCUGGAGUUCAGUAGUUUGCUAGGAUGGUUCACAGAACUCACAAAAACACUACUUACAUCAAUUAAAUGGAGAUUAUAAAAGAUACAGAUGAACAGCCAGUGUAUCUUUGGCCUUUACCCUGGGAUUUGUGAAGGAGAGAGAGAAUUUCAGGGCUGAAGAUGCCAUCUUGAAAUCAAGCAUCAAAACUCUUUGAUGAAAAACCCCCAGAAAACUCUUCGAUGAGGCUAUUAAAAUAUAAAUGUCAUAGAAGAAAGUGUGCUCUCCAAACCCUCUUUUAGAAGGUGUUGAUGUAUCUGUCACCCUUAAAAGAACUUUUUUAAAGCCUAAUGUUUUCUCACCAAUAAUCUCUUUGCUCUAAAUUUAACACUAUUUCAAUAUUGUUUUAAUUCUUGUGGUAAAUACUAAUGAGGAGAUAAUCUUUCAUGUUGUGAUCCAAUGAACUUGCCACUGAGUGAAUAAUAAGUACAUUAAAAAAAUUUGGAGGAGGUCGGGGAUUUAGCGUAGUGGUUCUGCCACCUGCCCCAUAAGCACAAGGACCGGAGUUUGAUCCCUGGUGCCAAAAAAAAGAAAUUUUUUUUUGAGGGGCUGGGGAUGUAGCUCAGUGGUGCUGCACCUGCCUGGCAAAUGCAAGGUCCUGAGUUCAAGCUUCAGUACUGAAAAAAAAAAUUUUUUUUUAAGGAAAAAAGUG